This 497-nucleotide ribosomal RNA is filed under the name uncultured bacterium. RNAcentral's name for it is "partial 16S ribosomal RNA". It matches the Rfam family "Bacterial small subunit ribosomal RNA", at positions 28 to 507 of the family's 1533-position model. The record is from RNAcentral.
GACGAACGCUGGCGGCGUGCCUAAUACAUGCAAGUUGAGCGCUGAAGGUUGGUACUUGUACCAACUGGAUGAGCAGCGAACGGGUGAGUAACGCGUGGGGAAUCUGCCUUUGAGCGGGGGACAACAUUUGGAAACGAAUGCUAAUACCGCAUAAAAACUUUAAACACAAGUUUUAAGUUUGAAAGAUGCAAUUGCAUCUCUCAAAGAUGAUCCCGCGUUGUAUUAGCUAGUUGGUGAGGUAAAGGCUCACCAAGGCGAUGAUACAUAGCCGACCUGAGAGGGUGAUCGGCCACAUUGGGACUGAGACACGGCCCAAACUCCUACGGGAGGCAGCAGUAGGGAAUCUUCGGCAAUGGACGAAAGUCUGACCGAGCAACGCCGCGUGAGUGAAGAAGGUUUUCGGAUCGUAAAACUCUGUUGGUAGAGAAGAACGUUGGUGAGAGUGGAAAGCUCAUCAAGUGACGGUAACUACCCAGAAAGGGACGGCUAACUACGUG